RNAcentral lists this ribosomal RNA (395 nucleotides) under uncultured bacterium. Its description in RNAcentral is "partial 16S ribosomal RNA". It matches the Rfam family "Bacterial small subunit ribosomal RNA", at positions 338 to 731 of the family's 1533-position model. The record is from RNAcentral.
CCUACGGGCGGCAGCAGUGAGGAAUAUUGGUCAAUGGCCGGGAGGCUGAACCAGCCAAGUCGCGUGAGGGAAGACUGCCCUACGGGUUGUAAACCUCUUUUGUCAGGGAGUAAGGUGCAGGUCGGGACCUUCUUUGAGAGUACCUUAUGAAUAAGCAUCGGCUAACUCCGUGCCAGCAGCCGCGGUAAUACGGAGGAUCCGAGCGUUAUCCGGAUUUAUUGGGUUUAAAGGGUGCGCAGGGGGAGGUACAAGUCAGCGGGAAAAUCGCGGGGCUCAACCCCACACCGCCGUUGAAACUGGGUGCCUUGAGUGCGCGAAGGGUAGGCGGAAUGCGUGGUGUAGCGGUGAAAUGCAUAGAUACCACGAAGAACUCCGAUUGCGAAGGCAGCCUACCG